RNAcentral lists this transfer RNA (83 nucleotides) under Stackebrandtia endophytica. It matches the Rfam family "tRNA". Rfam says of the family: Transfer RNA (tRNA) molecules are approximately 80 nucleotides in length. Their secondary structure includes four short double-helical elements and three loops (D, anti-codon, and T loops). Further hydrogen bonds mediate the characteristic L-shaped molecular structure. tRNAs have two regions of fundamental functional importance: the anti-codon, which is responsible for specific mRNA codon recognition, and the 3' end, to which the tRNAs corresponding amino acid is attached (by aminoacyl-tRNA synthetases). tRNAs cope with the degeneracy of the genetic code in two manners: having more than one tRNA (with a specific anti-codon) for a particular amino acid; and 'wobble' base-pairing, i.e. permitting non-standard base-pairing at the 3rd anti-codon position. Lineage: Bacteria; Bacillati; Actinomycetota; Actinomycetes; Glycomycetales; Glycomycetaceae. The record is from Rfam by way of RNAcentral.
GCCCGGGUGGUGAAAAGGGAGACACGACUGCCUUAAAAGCAGUUGCCAGUUAUGGCAUGCGGGUUCGAUUCCCGUCCCGGGUA